GACAGCGCACCUAUAAUGAUGAUGUAUUGGUUAUCCAGUUCUGCUUAUGAGAAGUAGCUGAUUAUAACCUCCACAGCGCACC
RNAcentral lists this small RNA (82 nucleotides) under Spisula solidissima (Atlantic surf clam). Lineage: Eukaryota; Metazoa; Mollusca; Bivalvia; Venerida; Mactridae. The record is from RNAcentral.